Long non-coding RNA from Portunus trituberculatus (swimming crab), 487 nucleotides. RefSeq lists it as uncharacterized. The transcript is spliced from 3 exons. The record is from RefSeq and is a predicted model, not a curated record. Lineage: Eukaryota; Metazoa; Arthropoda; Malacostraca; Decapoda; Portunidae.
GGAAAAGGAGAUAGAAACACAACACACAACCACAACCACCACCAACAACAACAACAACAACAACAACACACAGAGGUCACACUGGAAGAGGACGAGUAUGAUGACCUUUUCUUUGACCUUGAUGACCCAGAUGACCUUGAUACACCUCCUGACCUUGAAAUAAUGAAAGAAAACGAGAGGAACAUCAACAAAGAAAACGAGAGUGGGACAGAUUUUCGAAGCAGGAUUUUGAAAGCUAUUGGAGGAGGAGGAGGAGGAGGAGGAGGAGGAGGAGGAAGAGAAGGAAGAUAGUUGUCUCCCUCCUCCUUUCUUUAAUUCUUCCUCUUCCUCUUCUUUUUCUUCUUCUUCUGCUUUUGGUGUUUUAAGGCCCAGCACUGCCCCACAGAAGAGGAAGCCAAGUGACAUCGUUAAGCCAGUCAUUAAGAGGAAGUUUCCCGGCCCAGCUGGUCUCCUCCCCCAGAUGGGGCAACCAAGGAGUGAGGCAUCC